GAGAACCUGCACACAGGUGCUGCAUGGCUGUCGUCAGCUCGUGUCGUGAGAUGUUGGGUUAAGUCCCGCAACGAGCGCAACCCUUGCCAUUAGUUGCUACGAAAGGGCACUCUAAUGGGACUGCCGGUGACAAACCGGAGGAAGGUGGGGAUGACGUCAAGUCCUCAUGGCCCUUAUAGUGGGGCUACACACGUCAUACAAUGGCCGGUACAGAGGGUAGCCAACCCGCGAGGGGGAGCCAAUCCCACAAAGCCGGUCGUAGUCCGGAUCGCAGUCUGCAACUCGACUGCGUGAAGUCGGAAUCGCUAGUAAUCGCGGAUCAGCAUGUCGCGGUGAAUACGUUCCCGGGUCUU
Molecule: ribosomal RNA, 353 nt
Filed under: uncultured Allobrachymonas sp.
Lineage: Bacteria; Pseudomonadati; Pseudomonadota; Betaproteobacteria; Burkholderiales; Comamonadaceae
Description: bacterial SSU rRNA
Rfam family: Bacterial small subunit ribosomal RNA
Source: RNAcentral